AUAUCAUUAUCGAGAUAACAAACAACAACUUUAUGGGGAACCGCCAGUAAUGAUUUGGUCCACAUGCACAGGUACACACGCCCGCAGUUAAUAUUCAAAAUAAUUCAAACGAGGUCGAAAUUAUUCCUUAACUAAACCCUCCAAUAAUCAAAUAACGUUACGGCUGAGUUAUGCAAUAAGAUUUCGUGUUUUGGCCGAGUUAUGAGAUACCAUAUGUUAUUAUGAUAUAUCAAACCAGCCACCAAAUUGUUAGUUAUAUUGGUAGCGUGAAGAUGUGCAAUUUCAAA
RNAcentral lists this small RNA (287 nucleotides) under Arabidopsis thaliana (thale cress). RNAcentral describes it as "ATSL206500". Lineage: Eukaryota; Viridiplantae; Streptophyta; Magnoliopsida; Brassicales; Brassicaceae. The record is from RNAcentral.